AGGAAAAUAGUUCAGUCGGUAGAAUAGUGGUUUCCAAAACCAAAGGUCAAGGGUUCAAGUCCCUUUUUUCCUG
This 73-nucleotide transfer RNA is filed under the name Haslea nusantara. Its description in RNAcentral is "tRNA-Trp". It matches the Rfam family "tRNA". Rfam says of the family: Transfer RNA (tRNA) molecules are approximately 80 nucleotides in length. Their secondary structure includes four short double-helical elements and three loops (D, anti-codon, and T loops). Lineage: Eukaryota; Bacillariophyta; Bacillariophyceae; Naviculales; Naviculaceae. The record is from RNAcentral.